This is an RNA transcript of Prosopis cineraria, 1457 nucleotides long. It is a transcript of the gene named 3-methyl-2-oxobutanoate hydroxymethyltransferase 1, mitochondrial-like, with no coding region annotated. The record is from RefSeq and is a predicted model, not a curated record. NCBI's taxonomy places the organism in Eukaryota, Viridiplantae, Streptophyta, Magnoliopsida, Fabales, Fabaceae. The transcript has 7 exons.
CCGUCGCACCACUUCCUUCGUCUCUCCCCGUUUCCUCCAAAAUGGCCUUCUUCACCUCUCUUCUUAGAAGAGCUUCUUCUUCUUCUUGCUCAUCUCUUCUUCGGAACCGGGGCUUCAGCAAUCUCCCUGAAGACACGGUGUAUGCGGGACCCACUUCCCAGGCCUCGAUCAAGACAGUGACGUUGGCCUAUCUUAGGCAGAAGCAUAGAAUGGGCGAACCCAUUACCAUGGUCACUGCUUAUGAUUACCCAUCGGCGGUGCACUUAGACAUGGCCGGUAUCGAUGUCUGUCUCGUCGGAGAUUCGGCUUCCAUGGUAGUUCAUGGACACGACACCACUCUGCCCAUCACCCUCGACGAAAUGCUUGCUCAUUGUCGUGCCGUCGCUCGUGGUGCUAAGCGGCCGCUUCUGGUAGGCGACUUGCCUUUCGGAGCUUACGAAUCGAGUACUGGUCAGGCAGUUGAUACAGCAGUUCGCAUAUUAAAGGAAGGAGGAAUGGAUGCAGUAAAAUUGGAAGGAGGGUCGCCUUCAAGAAUUACAGCAGCAAAAGCUAUUGUUGAAGCUGGAAUUGCUGUCAUAGGACAUGUGGGACUAACUCCACAGGCCAUUAGUGUUUUAGGGGGUUUUAAGCCUCAGGGAAAGAAUGUGUCUGGUGCUGUCAAGGUUGUAGAGACUGCUUUGGCUUUUCAGGAAGCUGGAUGCUUCUCUGUUGUUCUAGAGUGUGUGCCUGCACCUGUGGCUGCUGCGGCAACCGCAGCCCUUCAAAUACCCACAAUAGGAAUCGGGGCUGGUCCAUUUUGCAGUGGACAGGUGCUAGUUUAUCAUGACUUGCUUGGUAUGCUGCAACAUCCCCAUCAUGCAAAGGUCACUCCAAAAUUUUGUAAGCAGUACGCUCGUGUUGGAGAGGUUAUCAAUAAAGCCCUCCUGGAGUACAAGGAAGAAGUGACAAGCGGCUCAUUUCCUAGUCCUUCCCACAGCCCAUACAAGAUCAAUGACACAGAUGUUAAUGAUCUUCUAAAUGAAUUGCAAAGGUUAGGUUUGGACAAGGCAGCAUCGGCAGCAUGUGAAGCAGCUCAGAAGGUAAAAGAAUCAUCCAAAUCAGUGACAGAAAAUCCAUCAAAGGGAAUGGUUUAGAAAGAGUUGAACAGGUUUUUAGGACCAAGUCGGGGUUUAAAGAACAGCUUGAGACAUGAAAGCUUGCACAAUUUCUGGCACUGUUUGGAAGGCAAGGGAUAAUCUGACUCAAACAAAUUGAGUGGAGGCUGAAGGAAGAGAAGAACAAAAAUGGAUAAAAAAAAAAAGUGCCAAAAAUGUAUAAAUCCCGAGUGUUGAUUGAGGUUUCUUGCCUUCCUUUUCUGGUACUAUAAAUCCCUCCUUGAAACAUACUAUAUAUUGGAAGCAGCAAGGUACGGGUUGACUUUCGUUUUUUUUUUUUAGCGUCUUUUUUUUGGCUACACC